CCCUUAGAUGUCCGGGGCCACACGCGCGCUACAAUGGAUGAAUCAACGCGUCAUCCUGGCCCGAAAGGGUUGGGGAACCGCUGAACCUCAUCCGUGGUUGGGAUUGGGGUUUGUAAUUAUUCCCCAUGAACUAGGAAUUCCCAGUAAGCGCGAGUCAUAAGCUCGCGUUGAUUACGUCCCUGCCCUUUGUACACACCGCCCGUCGCUACUACCGAUUGAAUGGUCCGGUGAAAUCUUCGGAUCUGAGAGAUGUUGGAUUAAUUUCUGACGCCUUUUGGAAAAGUCGCUUAAACCUUAUCAUUUAGAGGAAGGUGAAGUCGUAACA
This 325-nucleotide ribosomal RNA is filed under the name uncultured eukaryote. RNAcentral's name for it is "partial 18S ribosomal RNA". It matches the Rfam family "Eukaryotic small subunit ribosomal RNA", at positions 1470 to 1796 of the family's 1831-position model. The record is from RNAcentral.